UGGGGAAUAUUGCACAAUGGGCGGAAGCCUGAUGCAGCGACGCCGCGUGAGGGAUGACGGCCUUCGGGUUGUAAACCUCUUUCAGUAGGGACGAAGCGUAAGUGACGGUACCUGCAGAAGAAGCACCGGCUAACUACGUGCCAGCAGCCGCGGUAAUACGUAGGGUGCGAGCGUUGUCCGGAAUUACUGGGCGUAAAGAGCUCGUAGGCGGUUUGUCACCUCGUCUGUGAAAUCCUAGGGCUUAACCCUGGACGUGCAGGCGAUACGGGCAGACUUGAAGACUACAAGGGAGACUGGAAUUUCUGGUGUAGGGGGGGAAUGCACAGAAAUCAGGAAGAACACCGAUGGGGAAGGCAGGGCUCUGGGUAGUAACUGACGCUGAGGAGCGAAAGGAUGGGUAGCGAACAGG
Molecule: ribosomal RNA, 409 nt
Filed under: Verrucomicrobiota bacterium
Lineage: Bacteria; Pseudomonadati; Verrucomicrobiota
Description: Verrucomicrobia bacterium partial 16S ribosomal RNA
Rfam family: Bacterial small subunit ribosomal RNA
Source: RNAcentral